Molecule: ribosomal RNA, 269 nt
Filed under: uncultured prokaryote
Description: partial 16S ribosomal RNA
Rfam family: Bacterial small subunit ribosomal RNA
Source: RNAcentral
CACGUAGGGGCGAGCGUUGUCCGGAAUUACUGGGCGUAAAGGGCGCGCAGGCUGUUAUGCGAGUCUGCUGUGAAAUGUACCGGCUACAACCGGUGCCUUGCGGCGGAUACUGCAUAGCUGGAGUACUGGAGAGGGAAGUGGAAUUCCCGGUGUAGCGGUGAAAUGCGUAGAUAUCGGGAGGAAUACCGGUGGCGAAGGCGGCUUUCUGGCCAGUUACUGACGCUCAUGCGCGAAAGCUGGGGUAGCGAACCGGAUUAGAUACCCCCGUA